Molecule: long non-coding RNA, 418 nt
Organism: Homo sapiens (human)
Lineage: Eukaryota; Metazoa; Chordata; Mammalia; Primates; Hominidae
Product: long intergenic non-protein coding RNA 524
Source: Ensembl
GCAAACCCACUGUGUGCCUGGCGCCCUUGCGGUCAUCCCAGAUUUUUGCCCACAUCCCUCUGUUCCACCCAGAGGCCACCUGCAUGCAGGCAUGGUGGAUGGUUGCUGUGUGCAGUGAUGGCCUCCUGGGACCUCUUGCUGGCCACGGAGUUAACCAGGAGGGACCAUCAACCUCGGAAGGCCCAGCUCCAUGAUGAUGCCUCUCUCCAGAGACCUCCUGACCUCCUGACCUGCACAGCCCGGGAGACCACAGCCCACAGCCGCUGCCCCAGGUGUCCACAAGCAUCUCAGCCCCUCCACAGCCCACGCAUCUCCUCUUUCAUUGGCUCAUGGGGAGUGAAGGACAAUGUCUGAAUUAAAUGCCGUGCUUUAAACUGAAAGGGAAACUUAGCAAAUAAAUGAGAGUAACAACACUAGA